This 3350-nucleotide long non-coding RNA is filed under the name Sus scrofa (pig). RNAcentral describes it as "lncRNA (ENSSSCG00050035115.1)". The record is from RNAcentral. Lineage: Eukaryota; Metazoa; Chordata; Mammalia; Artiodactyla; Suidae.
GACUCAGCAAAAGCCUGGCUGACGGCUCAGCAGUGAACUCCGACGUGCCCGGGAGGGUCUGCGUGUCCCUCUACCCAGCCCCCGCCUGGCCCCACUCGGGCUGCUCUGACUGGGGCCCUCAAGCAACUACCACCACAACUACCACCAGGAGGCUGGAGGUCCAAGAUCAGGGCACCGGGUUUGGUGAGAACAGCCUGCCUGACCAGGAGAAAGAGGAAAAAAUGGAGACGAUGCGACCGCCUCCCCACACAGUCCGCCGAUUUCUAAAGACCUUCGCCAGCAAAACGCCACUGGGCGCCCCCACCCCUUAGCCGGCGAGCGGGAUUUCAACUACGGCCCAGGAUACACCGUCAACAGCAGGUCAGAGGAGCGUUCGGGGGAGCGGGGAGAGGGCGGUCCCCCCGUGCUCAGGCGGCAGCAAGGAAACGUCUCCUCCCAAACCUAAGUCCACAAAGCACCGGGGCCGCUGUGACCUGAUGCUGCAGUCUUGCGCUGUCAGCAGCGGCGCACCUCACACUCCCCACCCCGAGCGCACACACACCAGUGCACAUCUCACAAGCACAGCCACGGACAGCUUUGCUCCAGGCCACCUGUGCAAGGCCACUUGUUUAGCAAGAGGCUUGACAGGGACAGUGCCCGCACCCCCCGCCCGCGCCGCCAGGCGUAGGGCAAGGUGGGCUGUCCUUGGGGGUAAGAUCGGGCACAUUUGCCUGCAGCCCAUGGAAAAGAUCCAGGUUCCCGGGGCUCCCCGUGCCGCCGACGCGGCGCAUGCGCAGCACCUACCUGGACCGCGUGCCGGGAAGGGGGAGGCGGCAAGGGGGUCCCUGCAGCUCCGGCUGCGCGGUGGCCGAGAAAGCCCUCCGGCUCGGGUCGGGGCUCUCGUGUCUGCCAGCGUCCUCCGAACCGAGGCCUCCCACAGCUCCGGGCACAGGCUGCCCGAGAGGGCUCGGCGGUUCCGGGCGUCGCACCCCGUGCGGGUCACUGGCAGAGAGGAAGGUGGGCCAUCUUCCGGGGGAACCUCCCUGGAGCGCCAGAGAAUGUUCGCAGGGGUCUACCCGCGACCGGGUCACGCAAGCGGGGCAAGGACGCCGCGUGCGCAGCCGGCGGUGUCCACCCGGAGGGCCGGCGAAGCCGCAGCUCGUCCUCGCGGAAGCCUCCGGGCUGGUCCUGCCGUCUCACCCUCGCCACGCGGCCUCGGCAGGGAGACCUCAGUCUAGACGAGGCCCCGCGGCAGCCUCGGAAGGUUCCGGAGCGGGCCGGGGGCAGCACUGGGGCGGACACCGCCACGCCACCUCCGCUCGCUGGUGACAGAAGGGUCCUGCUGGGGCCUGUCCUUGGCGAACGGGGGCUGCAGGCCCCUGGCGGCCCCACGCGGCCUCUGCGGGGCUCCUGGAGGGGCGUGCUCAGCGCUGGUUCCCCGACUCCCCUACUCCGCCUCCUGUCUUCAGCUGUCGCCGCCUGGUGGCCCUAGGGCCCGCCGCCUUGCCCGGGCACCACCGGGACGUCCUCGUCAGGAGGGUGAAGCCCGGCGGCCCUGGCGCUGGCCCAGGUUCUGGACCCACGCUCGCUCCCGAGGCCCCUCCGCACUAAGCAACGUGCGGAGGAAGGAGUCAGGGUAAGGGGAGGGGGCGGCUGAGGAACCAGGCCAGGGGGCCCGUCUCACCAGGUCCCACCCUGGCUCCGGCCGGAGGCCUCACCAGCUGCCGCACUUCGGGAGGUUGGCCUGUCAGCCAAUGGCCGCCAGCCCACUUCCGGUUGGCAUAGGCUCCGCCCCCCCCACCUGAGGUGAUUGACACUUGUUAGGCCCAAUGAGCAUCAGGUCCCAUGCACUUGGAGGCACUGCGCCUGCGCAGGAGCAGUCUUCGCACCCUGCCUGAAGUUGCUGCGCAGGUGGCGUGACGUCCAGAGCCGGUAGUGAUGCUGCUUCAGACCCGCCUCCGGGAUGGGCUCCCUUGUCUAGCGGAACCUCCUCCUUCCGCGCGCCCCUGAAUGGUGGUGGGAGGAAGGCCUGCAGGCAGGCUGGGGCGGGCAGGACAGUGAGGUCUACCUGGAGCUGUGGGAGGGUGGGCCGAGGGAGCCUUGGCACAGAUGACCUGGAGAACUGGAGACCCGGAUCCUGCCCCACGCCGUUAACCAGGGCCUGGGCAGCCUUCUGACAGCUGACGGGGGGACCACGGAGGCCUGUGGCCUGGCUUUCAGCUGGAGGAACACGCGAUGUGCCCCACGCUUCAGCGACUGCCUCCACAGGGUUAUGGCCAUUCUGCCUGCGGCUCCGAAGCUGCCUUUUUCCACUGGAUCUGUCGGCCUGCAGCCUCCCUCAGCGGCCCAGAGCAUCGGAAGCCUCUAGAAGGGUGAGGCCUCUUGGCGCCGUGUGCCCAGGGAAAGGCCCAGAUGGGCCAUGCUUGUUCAUGUGCCCCCCUGCCGUCUCUCCUCCCCCACGGGAGCCUCUGAAAUCGAAUCUCGCUGCUCUCCUCUCAAAAUGCUCCUGGGCCCCCUCAUUGCUCUAAGAAAGUCCAGUCCUCGCCAGGGCCCCCUGCACCACGUGCCUGGCUGCAGUGGGUGGAACCACGGGGCUGGCUGUCCUAGGGACUCUUCAGGGGAAGUGAGGUGUCUCUUCCUGGGCAUGGCUCUCCCUCCCUCCCUGAUGGCCACUUCUGGGUCCCAAAUGGCACAGCUCCCCUCUCCCUCCUCUCUUCGACCCCUCCCCGUCAGCCCAGUCACUCCUCUGGUCUCUCCUAGGAAAGGAGAAAGAAACCCCCAGGUCUUGGUGGUAAAGGUGGCGCUGUCUCGAUUAAGCCAGGGCCUGGUCCGCCCAGCCCACAGGAGGGUCAUGUUCCCCACACUUCCUCUCCCUUUGGUGGGCUGGGCCGAGCUCUGGAUGGUGGGACGGGGUGCAGACCUGGUGCCUGAAACCUCGUGCUGGAGACAGUCACAUCUCAUGAUGCAGCCUGUUGCCAGGCCCUGCCCAAUCUCUGAGAGGUCAGCUAGCUGCAAGAGAGGCCAGUUAGGUCUCAGGGUUGAGGCUCUCCAGGUACAGAGGGUGGAAUGCAGGUGAGAGCAGGUCUAAAAUACCUGCCUGGGAGUUCCCAUCAUGACUCAGUGGUUAACGAAUCUGACUAGGAACCAGGAGGUUAUGGGUUUGAUCCCUGACCUUGCUCAGCGGGUUAAGGAUCUUGCGUUGCCAUGAGCUGUGGUGUAGGUUGCAGACUUGGCUUGGACCCUGCGUUGCUGUGGCUGUGGCUGUGGCGUAGGCUGGCGGCUACAGCUCUGAUUAGACCCCUAGCCUGGGAACCUCCAUAUGCCGUGGGAGCGGCCCUAGAAAAGGCAAAAAGAAAAAAAAAAAAAAAAAA